AGGAAUCUGGCUGAGGGAACCCUGAAAGCUCCCUAUCCCAGCCUGUCUUUAAGCUUGCUGGUAGCCCCGACGCGCACUCGGGGCGUGAGCAGCCAGGCUCCAGGCACCUCGGGACCUGCGGCGUCCAUGCGUCUGCGGCUCUGCCAGCGUCCUGCCCUGGCCUGUGCGUCUGCCUGCAGCUGAGUGUCCCCGUGGUGCUAGGAAGGACAGUUCACUUGGUGGUGAGCUGAGCUGCUGACCAUUUCAUGAAAGCUGGACAAAGUACUUCAGACUGUCACCUAAACUGGAAACCAACGUAGCAAGGACAGAUUCGAGGAGCCACCACUACCAGUUUUCAGGCAUACAAGCUUCUGGAAAGGGUAAUCUGUGUUGGAAAAAACAAAUAUAAGUUCAACAAAUAUAGCAGCUACUGGGGAGGUACAGAAUUUUCUGUUCUGUCCAUAAUGUUAACAAGUCAAAAAAUGUGUACACUCGAUAAUACCAUUCGUUAGGUGGCUACUAAUGCAGAAAGCAUUUUUCUUUGGAACCUGGAAAACAGGACUUUUCAGGAUUAGAGAAAGAAAAGCUGAAAUGAUAUGUUUUCAAUAAGUUAGGAGAAGAUCUAACCACAUUUUAUUGCAGCAGAGACAAUUGUUUGGUGGACUAACUACUUUUGGAUUGUUAAUUACUGAGAAACUCAUGAAUUUUAAGGUUCUGGGUUGGCUCUAUACUUUUAUGAGUAUCUGGAU
This 728-nucleotide long non-coding RNA is filed under the name Dasypus novemcinctus (nine-banded armadillo). RNAcentral's name for it is "lncRNA (ENSDNOG00000052551.1)". The record is from RNAcentral. Lineage: Eukaryota; Metazoa; Chordata; Mammalia; Cingulata; Dasypodidae.